UACGUAGGUGGCAAGCGUUACUCGGAAUCACUAGGCGUAAAGCGCAGGUAGGCGGUUCGGUAAGUCUCUUGUGAAAGCUCCCGGCUCAACUGGGAGAGGUCAAGGGAAACUACCGGGCUAGAGUGUGGCAGAGGAAGCUGGAAUUCCCGGUGUAGCGGUGAAAUGCGUAGAGAUCGGGAGGAACACCUGUGGCGAAAGCGGCUCACUGGACCAUUACUGACGCUGAGGCUCGAAAGCUAGGGGAGCAAACAGG
Molecule: ribosomal RNA, 253 nt
Filed under: uncultured bacterium
Lineage: Bacteria
Description: partial 16S ribosomal RNA
Rfam family: Bacterial small subunit ribosomal RNA
Source: RNAcentral